CAACAACACUCACGACUACUCGAGCUGUCCAACAGAUACCGCGGAUAUCCGGAAAUCGCGCAUCACGUGUUCAAUCAACAGGGAGCAGUCACCAAGUUGUUAGGUAAGUCCGCUAUAAUACAUAUCAUGUCGUAUACAAUACAAUCACAACCGGCGAAUACAAAUAUAUUUUAAUAAUACACAACGCGGCACAAUAUAGUGUUAAUAACGAUGAUAAUUUGUCGACACGCGACCGGCCGUCGUCGCUCCCUCGAACGUGGCCGGCGAUCGGAACGGACGGUUACUAUAGUUUGCCAUUUUCCGAUUGACAAAGAAAAAAAAAAAAAAAACCAACAAACGACAGUCUAUAGUUAUUCAAAAGUAUACUUGGGCGCCCGUGUAUCGAUAUAUUUCGGAUGUAUGGUAUAUAAGCGCAAAAAAAAAAAAAAAAACAAAACGUAUUGAUUACAUUCACUACGAAAAAUGGCCGCAAUUUGAGAACGAGUUUUAUUUGAAAAGUCUGCGGUUAAGAAGAAC
Non-coding RNA from Cinara cedri, 516 nucleotides. Lineage: Eukaryota; Metazoa; Arthropoda; Insecta; Hemiptera; Aphididae. The record is from the annotation of a GenBank genome assembly.